This 385-nucleotide long non-coding RNA is filed under the name Zostera marina. RNAcentral's name for it is "long non-coding RNA (ZMAR_LNC002527)". The record is from RNAcentral. Lineage: Eukaryota; Viridiplantae; Streptophyta; Magnoliopsida; Alismatales; Zosteraceae.
CCACGGUGCGGAGCACGUGUCUACGUCAAGAGCUCAAGUUAACACUUGGGAGUCGCCGAUUGGGACUACCAAGUCGCCGAUUCCAGGGGGGAAUCGCCAACUCUACGCCUCGUGGACAGCUCUGGUAGGCUGCCACUAGGCUCAUAGGGAGUCGGCGAUUGAACCUCUGGAUCGGCGAUUCCCAUACCUGAAUCGCCGAUUCCCAGCCGUUACUUGAGCGGACCUUCGCCAUUAAGGCAUUCCUUAUUAGGGGUACCUUAAUGGCGUGGGCCCCACUCGAUUGAAUGGGGAAACGCCCCCCAAGACCCUAUAAAAGGGGUCCUUGGGGGACCUCUAUCCUCAACUCACUCUCUUGACACACACUCCAACCAGAGCAAUCCAAGGA